UACGUAGGGUGCAAGCGUUGUCCGGAAUUAUUGGGCGUAAAGAGCUCGUAGGCGGUCUGUCGCGUCUGCUGUGAAAACUCAGGGCUUAACCCUGAGCUUGCAGUGGGUACGGGCAGACUAGAGUGCGGUAGGGGAGACUGGAAUUCCUGGUGUAGCGGUGAAAUGCGCAGAUAUCGAGAGGAACACCUGCGGCGAAGGCGGGUUGCUGGGCUGAUACUGACGCUGAGGCGCGAAAGCCAGGGGAGCGAACGGG
This 253-nucleotide ribosomal RNA is filed under the name uncultured bacterium. RNAcentral's name for it is "partial 16S ribosomal RNA". It matches the Rfam family "Bacterial small subunit ribosomal RNA", at positions 524 to 776 of the family's 1533-position model. The record is from RNAcentral.